This 289-nucleotide ribosomal RNA is filed under the name uncultured bacterium. RNAcentral's name for it is "partial 16S ribosomal RNA". It matches the Rfam family "Bacterial small subunit ribosomal RNA", at positions 8 to 316 of the family's 1533-position model. The record is from RNAcentral.
AGAGUUUGAUCAUGGCUCAGGAUGAACGCUAGCGGGAGGCCUAACACAUGCAAGCCGAGCGGUAUUGUUUCUUCGGAAAUGAGAGAGCGGCGUACGGGUGCGGAACACGUGUGCAACCUGCCUUUAUCUGGGGGAUAGCCUUUCGAAAGGAAGAUUAAUGCUCCACUAAUAUACUGAUCGGCAUCGUUUAAUAGAGAAAGCUCCGGCGGAUUGACAGGGGCCCGCUCAGGAUCAAGAUAGCGGGUUAGCUGGCCGUUGUUUCAACGGGAUACUGCUAUGGCCACGAUUG